UAACACGUGGGUAACCUGCCUGUAAGACUGGGAUAACUCCGGGAAACCGGGGCUAAUACCGGAUGGUUGUCUGAACCGCAUGGUUCAAACAUAAAAGGUGGCUUCGGCUACCACUUACAGAUGGACCCGCGGCGCAUUAGCUAGUUGGUGAGGUAACGGCUCACCAAGGCGACGAUGCGUAGCCGACCUGAGAGGGUGAUCGGCCACACUGGGACUGAGACACGGCCCACACUCCUACGGGAGGCAGCAGUAGGGAAUCUUCCGCAAUGGACGAAAGUCUGACGGAGCAACGCCGCGUGAGUGAUGAAGGUUUUCGCAUCGUAAAGCUCUGUUGUUAGGGAAGAACAAGUGCCGUUCAAAUAGGGCGGCAC
RNAcentral lists this ribosomal RNA (371 nucleotides) under Bacillus amyloliquefaciens. Its description in RNAcentral is "bacterial SSU rRNA". It matches the Rfam family "Bacterial small subunit ribosomal RNA", at positions 111 to 478 of the family's 1533-position model. Lineage: Bacteria; Bacillati; Bacillota; Bacilli; Caryophanales; Bacillaceae. The record is from RNAcentral.